UACGUAGGGUGCGAGCGUUGCCCGGAUUUAUUGGGCGUAAAGGGCGCGCAGGCGGCUCGGCACGUCCGUUGUGAAAGCCCCCGGCUCAACUGGGGAGUGUCGUGCGAUACGGUCGGACUGGAGGCCAGUAGGGGGAUGCGGAAUUCCGGGUGUAGUGGUGGAAUGCGUAGAGAUCCGGAGGAACACCAGCGGCGAAGGCGGCAUCCUGGACUGGUCCUGACACUCAUGAGCGAAAGCGUGGGGAGCGAUCCGG
This 253-nucleotide ribosomal RNA is filed under the name uncultured bacterium. Its description in RNAcentral is "partial 16S ribosomal RNA". It matches the Rfam family "Bacterial small subunit ribosomal RNA", at positions 524 to 776 of the family's 1533-position model. The record is from RNAcentral.